AUUGAACGCUGGCGGCAGGCCUAACACAUGCAAGUCGAACGGCUGAAGAGAACUUGCUUCCUCUUUCAGCGGCGGACGGGUGUGCGAUGCCCGUAAAUAUCCCUGCUAGUGGCGGCUAACGUCCGGACGCAGGCACACAUACCCCAUCCGCCCUUAGGCCCUACGAGGGGAAUCAGCGGACCUCCGGCCCUCCGCCGAUCCGAGGUCGACUUGCCUAGUUGGGGGGGUAAAGGCCUACCAAGGCGACGAUCCGCAACUGGUCUGAGAGGAUGAUCAGUCACACGGGAACUGAGACAGGGUCCAGACUCCUACGGGAGGCAGCGGUGGGGAAUAUUGGACAAUGGGCGAAAGCCUGAUCCAGCCAUGCCGCGUGGGUGAAGAAGGUCUUCGGGUUGUAAAGCCCUUUGGGUGGGGAGGAAGAGCAGUAGGUUAAUACCCUGCUGUUUUGACGGUACCUAAAGAAUAAGCACCGGCUAACUUCGUG
This 484-nucleotide ribosomal RNA is filed under the name uncultured bacterium. Its description in RNAcentral is "partial 16S ribosomal RNA". It matches the Rfam family "Bacterial small subunit ribosomal RNA", at positions 30 to 507 of the family's 1533-position model. The record is from RNAcentral.